RNAcentral lists this ribosomal RNA (498 nucleotides) under uncultured bacterium. Its description in RNAcentral is "partial 16S ribosomal RNA". It matches the Rfam family "Bacterial small subunit ribosomal RNA", at positions 30 to 523 of the family's 1533-position model. The record is from RNAcentral.
AUUGAACGCUGGCGGCAUGCCUUACACAUGCAAGUCGAACGGUAACAGGUCUUCGGAUGCUGACGAGUGGCGGACGGGUGAGUAAUAUAUCGGAACGUGCCCAGUCGUGGGGGAUAACGCAGCGAAAGCUGUGCUAAUACCGCAUACGAUCUAUGGAUGAAAGCGGGGGAUCGCAAGACCUCGCGCGAUUGGAGCGGCCGAUAUCAGAUUCGGUAGUUGGUGGGGUAAAGGCCUACCAAGCCAACGAUCUGUAGCUGGUCUGAGAGGCCGACCAGCCACACUGGAACUGAGACACGGUCCAGACUCCUACGGGAGGCAGCAGUGGGGAAUUUUGGACAAUGGGCGCAAGCCUGAUCCAGCAAUGCCGCGUGCAGGAUGAAGGCCUUCGGGUUGUAAACUGCUUUUGUACGGAACGAAAAGGCUCUGGUUAAUACCUGGGGCUCAUGACGGUACCGUAAGAAUAAGCACCGGCUAACUACGUGCCAGCAGCCGCAGUAA